CGGAUCAAGCAAGCACCUUGUUACGCAGAAAUGCGCACGGUGUAGCCCAUACGCACGCACAGUCCGAUACGGCCAAUAAGGGCACCGCAGCGUUGCUGGGCGAGAGUUGGCCGGCAGCCAGGAAGAAGUAUGCUGGCACAACGGAUCUGGUCUCCAGUGCGUCUCCUCGGCCCAGUUAACCUUGCGCCUGCUCUACGCAUGGCAGCCCUCAUUCCCCAGCACAGCCCAGUUUGCCCUGUGCCAGUGCUCCGCCUGUGCCGGGCUACAGUGACUAUCCAGCCAGGAUGGGUUGUGCAGGCCGUGCACUCCAGACCUCCAGUACAUCUCCAAGACCCAGUAUACCCUGUGCCUGUUCCUGCUCUCCGCACUAGCCCUGAGGUGCGUGUUACUAGUCUGGCACCUCCUAUGCCAGUCCCACGCAUCAGGCCUCCAGUGCGCCUGCCCAGUCCAGGGCGUCCUGUUCCUGCUCUCCGCACUUGCCCUGAGGUGCGUGUUAAUAGUCUGGCGCCUCCAAAGCCAGCCCCACGCAUCAGACCUCCAGUGUGCCUGCCCAGUCCAGUACAUCCUGUUCCUGCUCCCCGCACGAGCCCUGAGGUGCGUGUUAAUAGUCUGGCGCCUCCAAAGCCAGCCCCACGCAUCAGACCUCCAGUGUGCCUGCCCAGUCCAGUACAUCCUGUUCCUGCUCCCCGCACGAGCCCUGAGGUGCGUGUUACUAGUCUGGCGCCUCCUAUGCC
RNAcentral lists this long non-coding RNA (734 nucleotides) under Salmo salar (Atlantic salmon). Its description in RNAcentral is "lncRNA (ENSSSAG00000093927.1)". Lineage: Eukaryota; Metazoa; Chordata; Actinopteri; Salmoniformes; Salmonidae. The record is from RNAcentral.